ACGGGUGAGUAACGCGUGGGAACGUACCCUUUACUACGGAAUAACGCAUGGAAACGUGUGCUAAUACCGUAUGUGCCCUAUUGGGGAAAGAUUUAUCGGUAAAGGAUCGGCCCGCGUUGGAUUACCUAGUUGGUGGGGUAAAGGCCUACCAAGGCGACGAUCCAUAGCUGGUCUGAGAGGAUGAUCAGCCACAUUGGGACUGAGACACGGCCCAAACUCCUACGGGAGGCAGCAGUGGGGAAUAUUGGACAAUGGGCGCAAGCCUGAUCCAGCCAUGCCGCGUGAGUGAUGAAGGCCUUAGGGUUGUAAAGCUCUUUCACCGGAGAAGAUAAUGACGGUAUCCGGAGAAGAAGCCCCGGCUAACUUCGUGCCAGCAGCCGCGGUAAUACGAAGGGGGCUAGCGUUGUUCGGAUUUACUGGGCGUAAAGCGCACGUAGGCGGAUCGAUCAUCCCGGGGUGAAAUCCCAGAGCUCAACUCUGGAACUGCCUUUGAUACUGUCGAUCUGGAGUAUGGAAGAGGUGAGUGGAAUUCCGAGUGUAGAGGUGAAAUUCGUAGA
This 557-nucleotide ribosomal RNA is filed under the name proteobacterium StTD313. RNAcentral's name for it is "bacterial SSU rRNA". It matches the Rfam family "Bacterial small subunit ribosomal RNA", at positions 102 to 694 of the family's 1533-position model. The record is from RNAcentral. Lineage: Bacteria; Pseudomonadati; Pseudomonadota.